Molecule: ribosomal RNA, 346 nt
Filed under: uncultured bacterium
Lineage: Bacteria
Description: bacterial SSU rRNA
Rfam family: Bacterial small subunit ribosomal RNA
Source: RNAcentral
ACCGCAUACGAUCUAUGGAUGAAANCGGGGGAUCGCAAGACCUCGCGCGAUUGGAGCGGCCGAUAUCAGAUUAGGUAGUUGGUGAGGUAAAGGCUCACCAAGGCCGACGAUCUGUAGCUGGUCUGGAGAGGACGACCAGCCACACUGGGACUGAGACACGGCCCCAGACUCCUACGGGAGGCAGCAGUGGGAAUUUUGGACAAUGGGCGCAAGCCUGAUCCAGCAAUGCCGCGUGCAGGAUGAAGGCCUUCGGGUUGUAAAGCACUUUAAGUUGGGAGGAAGGGCAGUAAGUUAAUACCUUGCUGUUUUGACGUUACCAACAGAAUAAGCACCGGCUAACUUCGUG